This 443-nucleotide ribosomal RNA is filed under the name uncultured bacterium. RNAcentral describes it as "partial 16S ribosomal RNA". It matches the Rfam family "Bacterial small subunit ribosomal RNA", at positions 338 to 795 of the family's 1533-position model. The record is from RNAcentral.
CCUUCGUGAGGCAGCAGUGGGGAAUAUUGGUCAAUGGGCGCAAGCCUGACCCAGCAACGCCGCGUGAAGGAAGAAGGCUUUCGGGUUGUAAACUUCUUUUCUCAGGGACGCAGAAAGUGCCGGUACCUGAGGUAUACGCCACCGCUAUCUAUGUGCCCGCAGCCGCGGUAAUACGUAGGUGGCAAGCGUUAUCCGGAUUUAUUGGGUGUAAAGGGCGCGUAGGCGGGAGCGCAAGUCAGAUGUGAAAAUUACGGGCGCAACCCUGAGCGUGCAUUGGAAACUGUGUUUCUUGAGUGCUGGAGAGGCAAGCGGAAUUCGGUGUGUAGCGGUGAAAUGCGUAGAUAUACGGAGGAACACCAGUGGCGAAGGCGGAUUGCUGGACAGUAACUGACGCUGAGGCUCGAAAGCGUGGGGAGCAAACAGGAGUAGAUACCCGGGUAGUC